UAGCCCUACGGGACGCAGCAGUGGGGAAUAUUGGGCAAUGGGCGAAAGCCUGACCCAGCAACGCCGCGUGAAGGAAGAAGGCUUUCGGGUUGUAAACUUCUUUUGACAGGGAAGAGCAGAAGACGGUACCUGUCGAAUAAGCCACGGCUAACUACGUGCCAGCAGCCGCGGUAAUACGUAGGGGGCAAGCGUUAUCCGGAUUUUCUGGGUGUAAAGGGAGCGUAGACGGCAGUGCAAGUCCGGAGUGAAAGCCCGGGGCUCAACCCUGGGACUGCUCUGGAAACUGUAAAGCUGGAGUGCGGGAG
Molecule: ribosomal RNA, 305 nt
Filed under: uncultured bacterium
Lineage: Bacteria
Description: bacterial SSU rRNA
Rfam family: Bacterial small subunit ribosomal RNA
Source: RNAcentral